GAAAUGCGAUAAGUAAUGUGAAUUGCAGAAUUCAGUGAAUCAUCGAAUCUUUGAACGCAUCUUGCGCUCCUUGGUAUUCCGAGGAGCAUGCCUGUUUGAGUGUCAUUUGACUUCUCUCAACCACAUUGAUCAUGAAUGUGGCUUGGAUGUGGGGUUGCAGGCUUCUUCUUACAAUGAGGUCCGGCUCCCCUGAAAUGCAUUAGUGGUGUCUGAGCUGCUAUUUGGUGUGAUAAUUUAUCUAUGCCUUUGGUAAUGCUGAUCAGCACUGCUUAUAACAACCACCGUUAUUUGACAAAUUUGACCUCAAAUCAGGUAGGACUACCCGCUGAACUUAA
This 335-nucleotide unclassified non-coding RNA is filed under the name uncultured Inocybaceae. Its description in RNAcentral is "sequence contains ITS1". The stretch from base 1 to 105 matches the Rfam family "5.8S ribosomal RNA", at positions 50 to 154 of the family's 154-position model. Lineage: Eukaryota; Fungi; Basidiomycota; Agaricomycetes; Agaricales. The record is from RNAcentral.